GACGAACGCUGGCGGCGUGCUUAACACAUGCAAGUCGAACGGAAAGGCCCUGCUUUUGUGGGGUGCUCGAGUGGCGAACGGGUGAGUAACACGUGAGUAACCUGCCCUUGACUUUGGGAUAACUUCAGGAAACUGGGGCUAAUACCGGAUAGGAGCUCCUGCUGCAUGGUGGGGGUUGGAAAGUUUCGGCGGUUGGGGAUGGACUCGCGGCUUAUCAGCUUGUUGGUGGGGUAGUGGCUUACCCAGGCUUUGACGGGUAGCCGGCCUGAGAGGGUGAACGGCCACAUUGGGACUGAGAGACGGCCCAGACGCCUACGGGAGGCAGCAGUGGGGAAUAUUGCACAAUGGGCGGAAGCCUGAUGCAGCAACGCCGCGUGCGGGAUGACGGCCUUCGGGUUGUAAACCGCUUUCGCCUGUGACGAAGCGUGAGUGACGGUAAUGGGUAAAGAAGCACCGGCUAACUACGUG
RNAcentral lists this ribosomal RNA (468 nucleotides) under uncultured bacterium. Its description in RNAcentral is "partial 16S ribosomal RNA". It matches the Rfam family "Bacterial small subunit ribosomal RNA", at positions 28 to 507 of the family's 1533-position model. The record is from RNAcentral.